Molecule: ribosomal RNA, 418 nt
Filed under: uncultured bacterium
Lineage: Bacteria
Description: bacterial SSU rRNA
Rfam family: Bacterial small subunit ribosomal RNA
Source: RNAcentral
UGGGGAAUAUUGCACAAUGGGGGAAACCCUGAUGCAGCGACGCCGCGUGAGCGAAGAAGUAUCUCGGUAUGUAAAGCUCUAUCAGCAGGGAAGAAAGAAAUGACGGUACCUGACUAAGAAGCCCCGGCUAACUACGUGCCAGCAGCCGCGGUAAUACGUAGGGGGCAAGCGUUAUCCGGAUUUACUGGGUGUAAAGGGAGCGCAGGCGGCAGGAUAAGUCGGAUGUGAAAACCCGUGGCUCAACCGCGGGAUGGCAUUGGAAACUGUCCAGCUAGAGUGUCGGAGAGGUAAGCGGAAUUCCUAGUGUAGCGGUGAAAUGCGUAGAUAUUAGGAGGAACACCAGUGGCGAAGGCGGCUUACUGGACGAUGACUGACGCUGAGGCUCGAAAGCGUGGGGAGCAAACAGGAUUAGAUACCC